Long non-coding RNA from Parus major (Great Tit), 3622 nucleotides. RefSeq lists it as uncharacterized. NCBI's taxonomy places the organism in Eukaryota, Metazoa, Chordata, Aves, Passeriformes, Paridae. The record is from RefSeq and is a predicted model, not a curated record. The transcript has 2 exons.
GGAGGCGGCAGCGCGGGCCGGCCGAGCGGCGGGGAGAGGCGGCAGCCAGCGGCCAGGCGGGGGAGGGGGCUCCGCGCUCCGCUCCCACCGCGGGCAGGCACCGCCCGCCCCUCCCCGAUGCCUUCCCACAGCCGGGCCGCGCCGAGCGGGAGGCCCCGGGGGCUGGUGGUGACGGGAGGGCGGGGGGUCCCUCCGCGCUGCCCUCAUGACUUAGGCGGGGGCCGCCGCUGCCCGUGUCCCCCUCCAUGGCUGACGAGGCAGCACCGGGGAGCCACGGCCUCCCGGUGGCCGGAGCGGGCUACCCCUGCUCCUGUCCUGUCCCCCACAUCCGCGGGGUUGAGGUGUGGGAGCUCGGGUGCAGCCGUGCGGGCCCAUCCCAGGCCGGUAUUUCACAGCCGCGAGCCGUCAGGCAACGGGUGGGAUUUUUGUCCCAAGCUCAUUUGGGGUGUCUUCAUUUUGCAGCCCACUUUUUUUUUUGCAGGAGGUGUGGGGUCCCAGGAAACAGCCUGGAGCAUUUCCAGGUGCCAAAGUCCAACCCGUCUACACUCCCAGAGAACCUUUGCCUGCCACUGUUAGCCUUAACAAGCAACAUUAAACAAUGUAAAUAGCAAGAGCCUGUAUUUAUUUUAUAGACCAAUAUUUCAGGUCCAGAUGGCCUCUUCACAUGCAGAGGUGUGACAGGGUGGAGGGACAGUGAGAGAGGGACUGAGGGGAUUGAACAAGGAAGAAGUUAAGUUAGCAACUGAUAUAAGAAUUGAGAUAGGAAUUGCAGAGGCUCCCACUCUUACUUUUUAUAGAGCAUGCCACAUAGUUGAGCAUAUGUGUGUUCCACCUCCCACUUUGCAGGAUAUUGCAUAAUAUCACCAUCUGAAUUUAUAGAAUUAACUGUUUUAGAAGGAAGCAAUGAAUGCUGUUUUCCCUCAUUUACAGUCCAACUGGAGAUCUUUUGUCUCUCAACGUAUGUUAGCCACAGAAUCUGAGAACAGCCAGUCUGUGACAGUCUGUUUUGCCAAGUACUCAGGUUGGACCCCAGAGCUUGUUGCAGUUUUAAAAGCAAAGGGAAACAUUUUACUUACUGCUGAACAAUCUUUACAUAUCACCUUUGAAGUAUAUACUAUGUAUAUAUGAUGUAUACUUUGUUACAUAUAUACUAUUUACAAAUCAAAACUUGGAAAAAAAUAAGCUAUUCUUGUCUUGAAAAAUAAUAUACCAAGGAUUUAGAAAUGAAGUCCCAAUACUCUCACUGAUUUACAAAGGAUCUCACCCUACUGUAUAACAGCAUAGUCCCAGCCUUGAAGGAUAAAAGAAGCCCUAAACCAAUCUGUAGCUGCAUUUGCUUCCUGGUUAAACAGUAAAUAAAAUAAUUUCAAUAAUUGAUGUGCAACUUCAAAGGCAAAAAGAGCUGUGUUUGUUCAGCCUGGAAAAAAGAAACUUUGGGGUGACCUAAUUGCAGCCCUUCAGUAUCUGAAAGGAGCCUACAAUAAGGAUGAAGAGAGACUUUUUACAAGAGCAUGUAGUGACAACAGGGCAAGGGGGAAUGGUUUCAGACUAAAAGGAGGUUUAGAUUAGGUAAUAGGGUAAAAAUCCUUCUCUGUGACACUGGUGAGGCAGGUUGUCCAGGGAAGCUGUCGCUGCCACAUUCCUGGAAUUGUUAAAGGCCAGGUUGGAUGGAGCUCUGAGUAACCUGCUCUAGUGAAAGGUAUUCCACAGCAAGGGGCUACACAUAGAUGUUCAGUCCCCUCCAACCCAAGCCAGUCUGUGAUUUUUUCCUUCUUUAUGUGGGAGUUUAAACUGUGUUUGACUUGAUUUUUUUUUUUUUUACUUUUUUUUUUAGUAUGACAGACUUCUGCAAACUCUUGCAUUUUUGACCUCAGUUUUGAAACUUUAUACCCUUAAAUUUGCACUGAAAUUAGUUUCUUAUAAUCAUAUUAGGUUCCCUAUUAAGAACAGUGGGAUGACUUGUGCACAGAGAUGUCCAGACAUCUCUGAUGACUGAGGGCCAUGUGUUACAACGUCAAGUUAUUAAUAAUUUAGUUUUAUAUCAAAGCUGUGGAACUAAUGUGUUAUUUGAAAAAAACAUUCUGAACUUCUCUCAAAUCCCAGAGGCAGAUCUUAAUUCAAUUUCUUUGCUGUCCCAGUUUUCAAAGGGUACAAGUGCAAAAUUAGUGAUGUUGCUUCAAACGAAAACAGCAGCCAAGACACUUCAGAGUUGGGCACCUUCAUAUUACUAUUUUCCCCAUGUUUAUUCAAGCAUAUAAGAUGUACUUUAAAAGGGAAGACAAUUAUCAUUUAGAAUUGAGAGCUGACCUUUUUCUUUGUUGAUUUACUAAGCCUCAAAACUGAGUUACGUUUGUAUCUCUCUUAGGCUGUUUGUUCUGCUGCAAUUUUCUUCAGAAUUGCUGAAAUUAGAUCAAUUGCUAAUCAGGUUCUUUGGGUUAAAGGUUAAAACCUGGUAUCUCAAGUGAUUAGCCUCAGUUGCCAUUUAUUUUCACUGGAAUUUUAUAUAUGUAUAUUUAUAAACCUCUUCAGCCUCACUAACAUCAGAGAGGUUACACAAGCACGCAGCACUACUUCCUCAGAGGUCCUUAUGUUUUUUAUCUCAAUGUCUUCUAACGUUAAAGCAUUUUUUGGGGGGGGGAUGAAAUGUUCUGAAAACAGAUCUGAAAUGAUGGUUUAUGGCAGGAGAAUUUUUAUUUUUCCAGCCAAACUUGGCUAAAAGAAGUUAGCUCACUUUUAUGUAACAGCAAAUCAAAGAGGGUUGCAGUUAUACUAAUGCAGUAUUAUUUAAUGGAGUGCAUUCCAACAAAAAAGGAGAGCUGACUGAAUCAGCUGUGAGCCAGCACCAGCUGAACAUCACAUUAAAAGCCGUGUAAGCUUAUGUGCUCAAAAAAUGGCCUUGUAGAGAGAAAUCAGGCAAAACAUCCCCUAAACCACAUUCACUUGGAAACUCUGACAUUUUCAGUGUGGAUUUGGUCUCAAUGAUCUUAAUGGCCUUUCCCAACCUGAAUGAUUCCAUGCUGUGAAAAGAAAAACAGCCAUAAUCACGUUUCCAGCCAACACUCUGCUGACCCAUGAUACAGGGAAAAAUGCAGAGGAUUAGGAACGCUUUCCCUGGUUGCUCAGGCAACAGAAAGACAUGGGAAUAUGAAAAGUUAUUACCAUCCUUUGUACAGAAUCUCACUAGAGUUCUCAGACAUGUUUAUAAUUUUUUAUUUUUUCUAUUUUUUUGUAAUUUUCUAGUUUUCCUUCUUUCCCAUUAUCACAUACUUAAAACAUGAACAUUAUUUGUUUAGUCUGCUACCUAGAAUGUGAAAAUGUUAAACUUGAAAACAUUUCAUAUAUCUUUUUCCUACAUAAAUAAAAUAUGUAGUUUUCUAAGAGGCUGUGGAAAUUUUCAAAAUUAUGCACUGAAAGGUUUCUAGGUGGUAUCCAAAACACAACUACUACUAUCUCCCUUUAAAAAUCCUCUAGUUUUGUGGCAUCUCUUAAGAAAAUAAAAUGAUUGUUCCUUCAUCUGCUUUUCUUUCCCACUUACAUGUGCCAUUACCUAACAAAUAGGCCCCAUAAAGUUGCAACUUCACAGACCUAAUUAACUGUCAAAAUAAACUUACAGAGAAAGAUU